UGGGGAAUAUUGCACAAUGGGCGAAAGCCUGAUGCAGCGACGCCGCGUGAGGGAUGAAGGCCUUCGGGUUGUAAACCUCUUUCAGCAGGGACGAAGCGCAAGUGACGGUACCUGCAGAAGAAGCACCGGCUAACUACGUG
Molecule: ribosomal RNA, 140 nt
Filed under: uncultured Actinomycetes bacterium
Lineage: Bacteria; Bacillati; Actinomycetota; Actinomycetes
Description: uncultured actinobacterium partial 16S ribosomal RNA
Rfam family: Bacterial small subunit ribosomal RNA
Source: RNAcentral